Molecule: ribosomal RNA, 394 nt
Filed under: uncultured bacterium
Lineage: Bacteria
Description: partial 16S ribosomal RNA
Rfam family: Bacterial small subunit ribosomal RNA
Source: RNAcentral
CCUACGGGAGGCAGCAGUGAGGAAUAUUGGUCAAUGGACGGAAGGCUGAACCAGCCAUGCCGCGUGAAGGACAGCGGCCUAGGGGCGUUAAACUUCUUUUGUUCGGGAGCAAUAAUGGUCCCGUUUGGCCAGUCGAGAGUUCCGUUCGAAUUAGCACCGGCCUACUCCGCUUCAGCCGCCGCGGGUAAUCGGGGGGUGCAAGUGUUUGCCGGGAUUUUUGGGGUUAAAGGGGUCGUGAGCUGGGAGGUAAGUCCGCGGGUGAAUGCCCCCGCUCCACAGGGUGAAUUGCCAUUGAUACUGCCUGGCUAGAGUGCGGAUGCGGGGGGAGGAAUGUGUGGUGUAGCGGUGAAAUGCAUAGAUAUCACGCAGAACACCGAUUGCGAAGGCAUCUCAC